GCUCUCUCUCUACACACACGUAUAGAUAUUAAUAUUAUCUUUUAUUGGAACCUAAUUCUUGGACAUUAGUCAUAUUCUUGGUUUGAUGGCUAAAGUUUGCUAAUUUGCUUUAAAAUGCAAUAAAAUAAAUAAAUAAAUAAACCCAAUCCCAAAUUCUUGACUUGGGCCUUGCAGGGUUGGGACGCUGGAUUCAGUCCUGCAAUAAACAUAUCACCUUCUCUGGGUCUUUUAUUGAACCUUUUCCU
Molecule: unclassified non-coding RNA, 245 nt
Filed under: Hevea brasiliensis (rubber tree)
Lineage: Eukaryota; Viridiplantae; Streptophyta; Magnoliopsida; Malpighiales; Euphorbiaceae
Source: RNAcentral